GUAUGGCAUACAGGUGAGAUGUAAUGGUACAUCUGCACUGAACGUGACCGACUCCAGAGCUAUUUCUGCUGUCAAGAUUUGCUCCGAUGGGAUAUGGGUAUAAAUGUCCCUCCGACCUGAGAUCGCCACGGUGACUUGCAAGCAACUCACUGCACUUAGGCACUGGACUACCUGAAUUUCUAAUUCACUGACGGAAGGCUGCUGGGUGUAGUCAAGUAC
Molecule: long non-coding RNA, 219 nt
Filed under: Elaeis guineensis (African oil palm)
Lineage: Eukaryota; Viridiplantae; Streptophyta; Magnoliopsida; Arecales; Arecaceae
Description: long non-coding RNA (EGUI_LNC013208)
Source: RNAcentral